CUUCAGGAAUAGUUCUGCAGGCUUCUUGAAGAAUAUUUAAAGUUGUCUUUGGAUGUUGAAUGCUUUUUGUUCUGCUCUCUGUGAAGAUGAUCUCACACUGCUUCAGUGAUGUUGAGGUCCAGACUCUGGGGAGUGACACCACAAGUCGCUUUCUUUCUCUCCCAGCUUCAGUAAUGCCCCCUGCUCCUUCCGAGAAGACGCUUUGCUCUGGCUCGGAUUUCUCUUCCAAAGCCGUUCUGUGUCUGAUUGAGGCCGUCGGGCGUCGCUGGGGUCUCUAUGAGACUCGGGAACGCUCGCAGCUCUUCCAGAGUGUUCAAGAGGAGAUGGCCUCCAAGGGGCACAUACUGCCUGUUGAGAAAAUCCGUCGCAAGUGGAACAACCUCAUUGUGACAUACAAGAGGGUUAAAGACCGCAGCCGGGAGACGGGACAUGCUAAGACGUCUUGGGAGUUCUUUGAUUUGAUGGACGCCACCCUCUGCGACACCAUUGGCACUCAGAUCGUCAACAACAAACGAAACAAAGGCGGCAGCACGGUUUCUACACUGCCUGCUCCUUUGGCUAAGAUCGCUGCAAAGCCCCUGCAGCUUCCACAGCCGACAUCCACCAUCAUCCGUCCUAGCAGUGACUUCGCUGCUGUUGCUGGUGGUGGUGGUGUGGACUCAGUAGGUCUGGGCUCCAGUGCCGGCACCGCUGCCAGUACGUCGGUGACUGCAGCGACCAUUAGCUCAACUAAUGCUCCAGACCUCAAGCCCCUGAUCGUCCUCAAUGGUGACAUUGUUACUACUAGUAUUCACCCAGCCACCAUUGUGCCGGCUCCUUCUUUUAUCUCCUCACCUUGAUUUACAGAAACAGCCACCACAUCCCCUUCCCUCAUCUCAGCCAGUAACACAGACCUCAACACACUGGGCUACACGGGCCACAAAGCUCCAUCCAUCUCAUCAGGUGUCAUCCCUUUUCGCCUGAGUACAACAUCGCUCACCCAAAGCCAGAAUCUCCUCGGCCUCUCCUCUUCAUUCCCCCUCACGUCCUCCUGCCUCACUUCCUCUGCUGCCACCUCUUUGUCUACAACAACUGUGUCUGGAACUGAAGGACAGAACCAGAAGGUGAAAGCGGAGCAAGGCGGCUCCACUUUGUUCCAGGAGAUUCUGAAGCGACAGGAGGAGCAGGCCUACCUCGAUCGAGUGGCUCGCCGCAGGGUUGAAGCCAGAGAGAAGAGGCGGGAGAGGAGGGAGGUGCGAAUGUCCGAGUCCCUAGGGAGGAUAGCCACGGCCCUGGAGCUGCUCUCCUCCAAACAGGACACAGUCAUCGCCCUCCUACAGAGGCUGGCUGAUCGGAAAUAAUCUACGGUGAAAGCCUGGAAAGUAGAAUCUCCUGACCUUGUGUUUUUCCCACCUGAGAUCCUCCUUAUGAAGCUCUCGUGCACUAUAAUGCUACUUUAAUGAGCAUAAUUUGAUAUAAAUAUGAAUUUGACAAACUCUUAACUAAAUAACAGACAAGCGCAAAGGUGAGUCAUUGUUCCGUGCUUUUAAAUUGUUGUGCAUUGUAAAUAUGUUAGUUUGCUUCACUAACAUCAAAUAAAAAUAUUCUUUGGAUAUGCA
This is an RNA transcript of Oreochromis niloticus (Nile tilapia), 1598 nucleotides long. RefSeq lists it as uncharacterized. The record is from RefSeq and is a predicted model, not a curated record. The transcript has 3 exons. Lineage: Eukaryota; Metazoa; Chordata; Actinopteri; Cichliformes; Cichlidae.